This is a long non-coding RNA of Rosa chinensis, 1395 nucleotides long. RefSeq lists it as uncharacterized. The transcript is spliced from 3 exons. The record is from RefSeq and is a predicted model, not a curated record. NCBI's taxonomy places the organism in Eukaryota, Viridiplantae, Streptophyta, Magnoliopsida, Rosales, Rosaceae.
GUUGGCCAAGGCUCUAAAUAGCAAUGGAGUGACCAGGGUUCGAGCCUUGGUGACUUUGCUGAUUCUUUUAUUUGAAAUUCAGCCACGGCCCACGUGAUGGUGAUGUUCUGAUGUUGAUGUUGCAUCUUGCAUGUUACUGAUCACAUGUGAGAAGGGGUGGGAAAGGGUGGUGUUGACUACUUGACUUUGCAUGUGGAGAAAGGUAGAGUGGGAACUGGGAAGAGACGGAAGAUUCCAGAAAAAAUACCCAAAAUUUCUCAAAAUAUCACCAAUAUCGCGAUAUUUCUGGAAAUUUCCAAAAUAUCCGUCGAAAUCUAUACGGAACAUCGUGAUUUUUUAGUCCUUGAGUGUCGCAAUCGAGGAGAGAGAGGCGUCUUGCUCUUUGCUGCUUGUUCGUCGUUGUUCGCCGCCCUCUGGGCCUCUCGACGUAUUGGGUCCAGUAUUUCACGACGGUGGGGAACGGCGUCAAGAGCUGCUUGUAGAUUGGCGCCUCCUCCGAGAUCAGCAAACGGCGGGCCUGAUUGGCAUGGUGGCUGGCCAUUGUAUUUGGGAUUGUGUUGAGGUAUAGGUUGGUUCAGAAAUUUCUACUUUGUUGGUGAGGAGGUCGAAGAAAUUAAUUGAGAGAAUCAUGGUCAUAGGAUUGAGAAACCGGGUAAUCUGUGAAACCUGAAGGAAGAGUCUGUUCCGACAAAAUAAAAUUCAUGGAUGUACCCACAGCCACUUUCCACGGAUCAUAAUAAGAGGAGUAGAGAGAGUGAGACUUUUGAAAGAGAACAGUGGGAGCUUGCUGGCGAAGCAGAUAGGAUUAGAUAAAUCUCAAAUACGAUCAACAAACAGACGCAUUCUUUCUCAGACCCCCAAUUUUUGUGUAUAUUCGCAGUAGCAGCUAGCCGAGUUAUUUGAUAAAAGAAGACAUGAAUUCGGAGCAUGCUAGUUCCGGAGGCGAAAGAUUGAACAUGCUAGGUUGCAGGUUUAUAAUGCAGUAACAACAAUCUUUUGCACAAAGCUAUGGUGUAUUUUCUUGGGAUGCAACUUCUGAUCUUAAGUUUAUAAUGCAGCAACAAUCUUUUGCACGAAGAUUUGGUGUAUUUUCAGUGAGCCUGGUACGCAGCACAUGGAAGGUCUCUUAAAACACAUCUACGAGCUGUACAUUGAUUAUGUCCUGAAGAACCCCUUCUAUGAGAUGGAGGUUCCUAUCCGGUGCGAGCUCUUUGAUAUAAACCUAACACAGGCAAUAGAAAAGGAUCGUGUUGCCUUGUUGGCCCGAUAAUCUGCAUAUAGACAUGUAUCUUACCUACUUGUUGCUUGAUCUAUGUUUCUUUAGAUGUAUACCUUCUGAGCAAUCUCAUCUUACAUUCGUGUGAGAUACAUGUUGUUUGACUUGAGCUGACUAUA